RNAcentral lists this ribosomal RNA (962 nucleotides) under Bacillus sp. (in: firmicutes). Its description in RNAcentral is "bacterial SSU rRNA". It matches the Rfam family "Bacterial small subunit ribosomal RNA". Lineage: Bacteria; Bacillati; Bacillota; Bacilli; Caryophanales; Bacillaceae. The record is from RNAcentral.
AGCGGCGGACGGGUGAGUAACACGUGGGCAACCUGCCUGUAAGACUGGGAUAACUUCGGGAAACCGAAGCUAAUACCGGAUAGGAUCUUCUCCUUCAUGGGAGAUGAUUGAAAGAUGGUUUCGGCUAUCACUUACAGAUGGGCCCGCGGUGCAUUAGCUAGUUGGUGAGGUAACGGCUCACCAAGGCAACGAUGCAUAGCCGACCUGAGAGGGUGAUCGGCCACACUGGGACUGAGACACGGCCCAGACUCCUACGGGAGGCAGCAGUAGGGAAUCUUCCGCAAUGGACGAAAGUCUGACGGAGCAACGCCGCGUGAGUGAUGAAGGCUUUCGGGUCGUAAAACUCUGUUGUUAGGGAAGAACAAGUACAAGAGUAACUGCUCGUACCUUGACGGUACCUAACCAGAAAGCCACGGCUAACUACGUGCCACCACCCGCGGUAAUACGUAGGUGGCAAGCGUUAUCCGGAAUUAUUGGGCGUAAAGCGCGCGCAAGCGGUUUCUUAUGUCUCAUGUGUAAGCCCACGCCUCAACCGUGGAGAGGGAUUGUAAACUGGGGAACUUGAGUGCAGAAGAGAGAGGCUGAGGUCUUCGUGUAUCGGUGAAAUGCGUGUAGAUCUGUAGGAACACACCUGCCGCAUGCGGCGGCUUUGAUCUCUAGGUGAUACUGACGCUGGUAGAUCGUGUGAGCACACAGCAUGAUCAUACUCUGCUGGACAACAACGCCGUAUACGAUGGGGUGUGUUGCAAGAUUGCUGCCCACUUUAUGGUGCCGCGUGGAAUCAGCAUUCCUCCUGCGGAGUGAAGUCGCAGAUUGAUAUGACCCCGAAUGGAUGAGCGCUGCGCUUCAAUGCGAGAUUAAGAGUACUUCUGUCCGACGCUUACAGCAUAUCAUUGCGGAUAUGCUCGCCACUACUAUACGAGCUGCCGUCUAGUACGACGUGCAUUGAGGUAGUACCGGUC